GGAGAUUGAGUAACUGGUCUCUGGAUGUGCGUGUGCUGCUUCCCAAAAUAUCUUUUUAAAAAGACGUGAGAGAGAUGCGGAGCUAGUAGGAACAUAUAUCUGAACCAGUGAGAGGCAUUUUCAUGGACAAAGCUCCUGAGGAGUAUGAUUUAAGGACAGGGCUGUCAAACUGCAUUCCUGAAGCCUCCAGUAGGAAUGCUGCCCAGGUGCCUUCUGUGCAUCUCAGAGGAGAUAGACAGGCAGUGGUCAGACAGUGGGGAACACGACCGUGAGAUGCUGAGCAAUACAAGUGUGAGUGGACUGUGCUGAUGGCCAGGAAAAGAUGGGCUGCCAGAUCUCCAUGAAACCACCCUUCUUUUAUCUUCCUUCACCUUUAAUUUAGGAAACACUGGUUAACGGAGAGGCUGAGAAGAUGUGAAAAUUUCCAUCUGGCUACUUCUCUUCCUGAAUCCUUACGAUUCUCAGAGCUGCCCCAAUCCUAGACCAUAAUACACAACGUUUCUCUUAUGCACUGAUAUUCUGGUGUCACUUUGAAAUCAGCCAAGAUGCAGUGGGUCUUAAUAAAGCAAUGGACCUC
This 577-nucleotide long non-coding RNA is filed under the name Bos taurus (domestic cattle). Its description in RNAcentral is "long non-coding RNA NONBTAT024717". The record is from RNAcentral. Lineage: Eukaryota; Metazoa; Chordata; Mammalia; Artiodactyla; Bovidae.